UAUCAACUUGAAACACCGGUUCCCGUAAGAUCAUCGAAAUUAAGCAACGUUGAGUCUGGUCUUUACCUGGAUGGGCGACCGCCUGAGAAUACCAGGUUCUGUAAG
Non-coding RNA from Acanthosepion pharaonis, 105 nucleotides. The record is from the annotation of a GenBank genome assembly. Lineage: Eukaryota; Metazoa; Mollusca; Cephalopoda; Sepiida; Sepiidae.